Molecule: non-coding RNA, 3794 nt
Organism: Rattus norvegicus (Norway rat)
Lineage: Eukaryota; Metazoa; Chordata; Mammalia; Rodentia; Muridae
Source: RefSeq, a predicted model, not a curated record
UUUUAAGACUUUAUUUUAUAAUUACAAUUAAAAAAAACAGUAAUGGAGAUAUAAACAGUGACUGAGAGAAACUACCUAGGGGAAUGCAGGGCAGAGAAAAGAGCAAAAUGGUGGAAAAGCAAGUGGACUUUAUGUGACAGUCAUGGGGUGGGGAAUUUUGAGCUGAUAGAGGUUGUCUGGGUUGAUCUCAAACUAGGUACACUGGCCUGAGGUAGAUGACCUUUGGUUAAGAAAAGUUCCUGGAGGAUUUUAAUUUUUAAAUAUUUUUUUUUCAGGACAAGAUUCCUCUGUGUAGCACUGGCUGUCCUGGAACUGGCUCUGUAUACAAGGCUGGCCUAGAACUCAGAGAUCUGCCUGUCUCUGCCUCUCUGCUGGAAUUAAAGCUAAGAGUGUGUGUGUGUGUGUGUGUGUGUGUGUGUGUGUGUGUGUGUGUGUGUGUGUGUGGAGAGAGAGAGAGAGAGAGAGAGAGAGAGAAAUGAGAAUGAGAAUAUAUAUGUGACCACCAGCCAGCAGGUUCCUGGAAAACUAAUCCAGAUUCUUGGCAAACAGCAGGCACUUUAAGAAAUCUGCUUUCCUAGUAAACAGAAACCUUUAGGCUUGUUUCCAGACAACAAUCCUCUGUUUACCCAAAAUCCUUCUGUUUAGGACACUGUCACUAGCACUGCCAUUUUGGAGGCAGCAGGGUUUUAGACCUGACAGAAUUUGUAUUUUGUUGUUGUUUAGUUGGUUGACUUUUGAGACAAGGUCUCACUCUGUAGCCCUGGCUGACUAGGAAUUUGCUUUGCUUUGUAGACCAGGUUGGCCUGGAAUUAACAGCGAGCUGCCUGCCUCUACCUCCCUAAUUCUGGGAUUAAAGACACGGACCACUGUUCCCACUCCUCACUGCAGUUUUUUAAAUUACUCAUUUUUGUGUAUCUGUAGAUAUGUACAUAUCUACAAGUACCACAGUAUGCUUGUGGAGUUCCAAGGACAACCAAUCUGUCUCUCCCAGGAUGAAAUUCAGGUCUUUAGUCUUAGCAGAAAGCACCUUUACCUGCUGAACCAUCUCUCUAGCCCUGUAGGCUACUUAAGCUAUUUUGGAAGCAAGGUCUCACUGGCUGGCCUGGAAUUCAAAGCUAAAUAAGCCCCUGUGGCAUAAGUUCAAAGGUAUAUAUCAUCAAACCCAGUUCUGCCUUUAAAAUUACAUUCCUUUUUUAUGGGAUGGGUGUACAUGUCACAGUGGACAUCUAGCGAUCAAAGGACUUGUAGGAGUUAGUUCUCUCCACCAUGUAGGUUCUUGGGAUUAAACUCAGGUCAUCAGGCUUGGUGGCAAGGGCAACUCUAUUUUUAAAGUCCCAUAAUAGAUAAUUGGAUUGUAAUAAUAGAGCUUUUUCAGAUUAUUUUUUAAUGUCCCUAAAGAUAGAGAUUAAAAUAUGGGGGAAGAAAAGGUUCUGGUAUCUUGCUUUUGUCUUCAAAGAAUCUGCUUAAAUUUCCUUUCCAAUCCCAAAGUCAAAGGGUAGGACUCUUAAUUUCGUGACAUCUGUAAACUGGAAGGUCUUCCCCCACCCCUCAAUUAUUCUUUUGUAAAAUAGUAAAGAAUCAUUUUCUGGGUCUUUCACCUUCUAUCUAUAACUGGCUUAUCAUAGGAUCUACUUUUUACUGCAGGGUUCAAGAAAGGCUCCCACAUGACAACCACAUAGGAACUCUGCAGAGAAGGAGAUACAUGUAGCUGGCAGCGCCUUUCCCAUUUGCUUUUGAGGGGGAAAGGAGUUAAGAUGGGGGUCCUCAUUUGCUGCCCAGGCUGGGUUCCCAGUUGCAGCGAUGUUCCUGCCUCAACCUUCCAUUUUCCAGGGAUUAUAGGCAUGAACCAGUCUCAGCACAGUUCAGCACACUGUGGUUUGUUCUGCAUAGGAACCGAAAACAAGGCCUAGGAGAGAGGCGGGCAGGAAGGGCCUCAACCACAGGGAUGGAAAGGGAGGAGGAACUCUCUCACAGGGCGUAGUGGAGCCUGGACAGACGGACAGUGGAGCUGCAGACCUGGGGAGAGAUCAGUAGGCUUCCUAGCCUCUCAGCUCUGCUUGGGGUUUCCAAGGUGACGCAGCCAUCAGGGCUGUGCCAAGGGCCACCAUCCGGCCUUCAGUAUAUCAGGGCGUCUCUCCUCCACUGACUUCCUUGCCGUGCCCUCCAGGUCCCUCCACUUCCAGCUCAUCCACCAAGAGGGUUAGGGCGGCGUCCUCGGGUCCCAGCAAAGAGGAAGAGGCAGGGUGAAGCCGGUGCGGAGCAGGGGAGACUGGGUAGGGGUGGGCGACCGCCUGAGGAUACUGCGCAGCGUGCGGACCCUCAACCCUCGGUCGGUCGCGAGCCUCCCGCCUCAGCAACGCCGCCCUGCGGGAGGGCGGGGGCGCGCGGCCGGAAGCGCCUUUCCCGGAAGGCAGGGGGGCGGCGCCGGCCUCAGGGCGGCUCGACCAUGGCGGCGGCGCGCCUGGUGCUCACUGCCUGAGCCGAGCCGCGCAGCGGGAGGAUGGCCUCGCUCGGGUCAGCCGCGGCUGGGGAGCCGGCGACCGGAGCUGAGGCGGAGCCAGGUCCUCCGGCCCCGCCGCCACCUCCGCCGCCGCCACCCGCUCCCUCGCCGUCCGCUCUCGGGCCGUUGUUGCCCCUGCAGCGGGAGCCGCUGUACAACUGGCAGGCCACCAAGGCGUCGCUGAAGGAGCGCUUCGCCUUCCUCUUCAACUCGGAGCUGCUGAGCGAUGUGCGUUUCGUGCUCGGCAAGGGCCGAGGCGCGGCUGCCGCCGGGGGCCCGCAGCGCAUUCCCGCCCAUCGCUUCGUACUGGCGGCCGGCAGCGCGGUCUUCGACGCCAUGUUCAACGGCGGGAUGGCCACGACGUCGGCCGAGAUCGAGCUGCCGGACGUGGAGCCCGCCGCCUUCCUGGCGCUGCUGAGGUUUUUGUAUUCAGAUGAAGUUCAAAUUGGUCCAGAAACCGUUAUGACCACUCUUUAUACUGCGAAGAAAUAUGCAGUCCCUGCCUUGGAAGCACAUUGCGUAGACUUUCUCACCAAACACCUUAGGGCGGACAAUGCCUUUAUGCUGCUAACUCAGGCGCGGUUGUUCGAUGAGCCUCAGCUGGCCAGUCUUUGUCUAGACACCAUAGACAAAAGCACAGUGGAUGCAAUAAGUGCGGAAGGCUUUACUGAUAUUGACAUCGAUACACUCUGUGCAGUUCUAGAAAGAGACACACUGAGUAUCCGAGAAAGUCGACUUUUUGGAGCUAUUGUACGCUGGGCAGAAGCAGAGUGUCAGAGACAACAAUUGCCUGUGACAUUUGGAAACAAGCAGAAAGUUCUAGGAAAAGCACUUUCCUUAAUCCGGUUCCCACUGAUGACAAUUGAGGAAUUUGCAGCAGGUCCUGCUCAAUCUGGAAUUCUGUCAGAUCGUGAAGUGGUAAACCUCUUUCUUCAUUUUACCGUCAAUCCUAAACCCCGAGUCGAGUACAUUGACCGGCCGCGAUGCUGCCUCAGAGGAAAGGAAUGCUGUAUCAAUAGGUUCCAGCAAGUAGAGAGCCGCUGGGGUUACAGUGGGACGAGCGAUCGGAUCAGGCAAAUAUAAAUUAUCAAAAUUGACCGAAGAAGAAAGCCUGAGUAGACCAAUUACCCUGGGAAGAAUUAAGUUAUCAAAGAACUGUCCAUUCACAAAGUUUUUACAGGUUCACAGUUAACAGGAGAAUCUCUGUAGUUGGAUUCGGUUUGUAUGGAUCUAUUCACGGGCCCACGGACUACCAAGUGAACAUACAGAUCAUUGAAUAUGAGAAAAAACAAAC